AAUCACGCUCAUGAAUCUUUUCCAUGAAUCAUUUGAUCCUGUUCACACAACCGGCUUGAUUCUGGUCCAUUCAAGUUUCGGUCUGGUUAACAAGCUAGCUCUUGAAGUGAAGCUCAUCAGUGAAUAACGACUUUAAUUUCAGUCUGUUUGUCACAUAAAGCUGUCACUUCAUAAAACUUGAAUAUAGCGACGAAUAGUAUUAAUUUCGAAUCACUUUUCUGCUAGCUAUAUUUAUUAGCCUAUGUUUUUCGUCAUUGUGGAGCAUGACCUCAAUCACUAACCGACAUAUUCUUUAGAAAGUCCUUGUUUUCCAGAGAAGAAAGUCAUAAGGAUUACGACAUGAGGUACAAACUCUUGAUCUGGCCAUGAUUCUCAGUGAUAAAGGUGUGAAUGGCAACAAAUGUGCACAUGCACUCUGUGCCCUGUCCUUCCAAAUGAGGGGUGAGGAUCAGGAGGCAUUCAUACUGACUCUAACACAACCAAGACAUGGCAAUCUUUUAUGAUCUUCGGCUGAUGUCUCUGGCCGUGCUGAUGCUGGCGUCUCAGCUGAACUCUGCCAGCGCAACUGUAGAGUUGAAAGAUUUAAAAGGCAGUAAUCUUUCUGGUGAUUUUGCAAACAAACCCGAUCCAUACGUCAAGAUGUGGUGCAAUGGUCAAUAUAAGAAAGCAGACAAAAUCGAGAAUACUAAUGAUCCUAGUUGGCGUGAUGAUGUGUUCACGUUUUCAAGUUGUAAUUCUGGUCACAAACUAAAGGUGGAAGUGUGGGACGAAGACCCAGGCAAUGACGAUAAAUUGGGCUGGUAUGAAGGAAAUGUGGGAAAAGGAUCUAAUAUUCCUGUUAAAUUUUCUGCUGGCAAAGGAAUCAUAGAGUUCAAAUACACUGUGAAAUAAAUAUGUUCAUAAUCAGCACUUUGUAAAGCUGCUUUGAGACAAACAUCCUUUGUAAGAAGCUCAGUAGUAAUAAAGCACAAUAGCAUUGAACACCA
Long non-coding RNA from Megalobrama amblycephala (Wuchang bream), 986 nucleotides. RefSeq lists it as uncharacterized. The record is from RefSeq and is a predicted model, not a curated record. The transcript is spliced from 4 exons. Lineage: Eukaryota; Metazoa; Chordata; Actinopteri; Cypriniformes; Xenocyprididae.